AACCAUCUUCGAUCCCCUAUAAGUACCCGACUCCUUCACUGCCGACUUCACACCCACCGUAAUCACCUCUCGUUCACACCUCUUCACUGCCUUCUUCUUCUUUCGCCGGAGCUAGCCGGAGAAGACAACCGGAAUAACGCCAUCCGUUUCGAAGCACCAUAAACCCACCGAACGGCCACCGUUCUCUACUUUGCUUUCCUGUUUUAAACCGUCGCCGGGAACACCUCCUCGCCGGAACUCCGCCGCCGGAGCACCUCCGCGUCACCACCAUUCGCCGCCGUCGAACCGCCGGGUAAAUCUCUUGUGCAACGACACUUGGAACAAUCCUCAUACUCUCUUUCCAAGAAAUACGCAACGCACUCCAAGGUGAGUAUACAUGACCCAUUUUCGUUGAAAGUACAAGAUUCAAGAAUCAAGUUAGGAUGAACACUAGAAACCCACAUAACAUU
Molecule: long non-coding RNA, 449 nt
Filed under: Helianthus annuus (common sunflower)
Lineage: Eukaryota; Viridiplantae; Streptophyta; Magnoliopsida; Asterales; Asteraceae
Source: RNAcentral